UGUAAUGAUGAUUCAAUAGACUAGAGUCUCUGAGAACUUGAUGUGGUUCACAAAACACUGAACA
Small nucleolar RNA from Electrophorus electricus (electric eel), 64 nucleotides. Lineage: Eukaryota; Metazoa; Chordata; Actinopteri; Gymnotiformes; Gymnotidae. The record is from Ensembl.